Long non-coding RNA from Balaenoptera ricei (Rice's whale), 672 nucleotides. RefSeq lists it as uncharacterized. Lineage: Eukaryota; Metazoa; Chordata; Mammalia; Artiodactyla; Balaenopteridae. The record is from RefSeq and is a predicted model, not a curated record. The transcript is spliced from 5 exons.
AAAGCACUAAUAGAAACUUAAAGUAGUAUCACCCUCGCUUGACUGAAAUUUUAUGUGGAAACUAAGCUCAACGUGUCUGAGAUAAGGAAACUGAGGCAUAGAAAAAUAACCUGUCAAAUAGAGGGUGCUUCAGGAGGAAGGCAAAGAGAUACCUGUGAUCUUUCAUCUUGAGGGAGCAGUUAAAGAGGCAGAGUUUCACCCCGAGCAGUGAGAGUGGCACCACCAAGCCUCCUCUCCAGAAACCGUACUCAGCAUCUCAGCAUCAAGCUGCCAUAGCUCUGAACUGUGUCUUACCUUGAUCUUCAUUUGAGGAAUCCACCCCUCCCCAUGCAGUCCAUGUGCUUCCAGAGAAGUUGACCUACUCCCUGGUUAGUUCAAGCCAACCAUCACAUUCCAUAUUCCCAUGCACAUCUUUCAGAAUUAAACAAGUGAAUAUCAGGAUACUUGCUGGACUGAUGGAAAUCAUUCUCUCUAGAUGUGGAUGAGGGAACAUGUACUUUGGGGGUCUGCUUGCAGCCAUCUUGUGAUCAUGAGAGUUGCUGGCUUUAGGAUAAAGGUGUCACUGUGGAAGACAGAGAAAGAUGGAAAGACUCUGAGCCCUUAGUGAUACAGCUGAGCCUGUAGUGACUGAAGACCUAGAGAAACGGUCCUGAAUGACAAACUAACCCAAAA